Molecule: unclassified non-coding RNA, 296 nt
Organism: Erinaceus europaeus (western European hedgehog)
Lineage: Eukaryota; Metazoa; Chordata; Mammalia; Eulipotyphla; Erinaceidae
Gene: 7SK
Rfam family: 7SK RNA
About the family: 7SK was discovered as an abundant small nuclear RNA in the mid-70s but a possible function has only recently been suggested. Two independent studies have found that 7SK RNA binds the CDK9/cyclin T complex (known as elongation factor P-TEFb).
Source: Ensembl
GGAUGUGAGAGCGAUCUGGCUGCGACAUCUGUCACCCCAUUGAUCGACAGGGUUGAUUCAGCUGAUCUGGCUGGCUAGGCAGGUGUCCCCUUCCUCCCUCACCACUCCAUGUGCGUCCCUCCCCAAGCUGCGUGAUCGGUCGCCUUCCUGGAAUAGAGACGGACAGGUCUUUGGUCGAGGGUAUAAGAGUAGCUGUGCUCCCCUGCUAGAACCUCCUAACAAGCUCUCAUGUACAUCUACACCAAAGUUUAUCAUUUUAAAGAUGAGAAAAACAAUCCCAUAAAAUGGGAGAAGUU